Molecule: ribosomal RNA, 253 nt
Filed under: uncultured bacterium
Lineage: Bacteria
Description: partial 16S ribosomal RNA
Rfam family: Bacterial small subunit ribosomal RNA
Source: RNAcentral
UACGUAGGGGGCUAGCGUUGUCCGGAAUCAUUGGGCGUAAAGAGCGUGUAGGCGGUCCGGUAAGUCCGCUGUGAAAGUCGGGGGCUCAACCCUCGAAUGCCGGUGGAUACUGUCGGGCUAGAGUGCGGAAGAGGCGAGUGGAAUUCCUGGUGUAGCGGUGAAAUGCGCAGAUAUCAGGAGGAACACCGGUGGCGAAGGCGGGUCUCUGGGCCGACACUGACGCUGAGGAGCGAAAGCGUGGGGAGCGAACAGG